Molecule: long non-coding RNA, 349 nt
Filed under: Vigna radiata
Lineage: Eukaryota; Viridiplantae; Streptophyta; Magnoliopsida; Fabales; Fabaceae
Description: long non-coding RNA (VRAD_LNC004969)
Source: RNAcentral
UCCAUAUCUCUAUCAUUCACAAGUCACAUGAAGCAAAAUUGUCAUUCAUCUUAAACAAUCAAAAUCCUUACAUGCGAAUGCCAUCAAAAGGACUUUUCCAAGGCUUGUAAUGAGGCUGGGUUAACAACAAAAAUUGGUUUUUCUGGAAAGCAACAUCCUUGAAUUAAGAGAGCUACCAUAGUAUUCAAUAUUUAAGAACAACUCUCUUCCUCACCAAUCUCACUUAUUUCCCAACUUCUUCCCUUUUCUUUUUCAUUGAGCUCAUCUUCAUGCUUUUCUUCUUUUCUUUCCUUUUUCUCAUGCAUUUUUUUUCAACAUUUGAGCUCAAUGCUUUUCAAUUUCCCCCAUG